GGAAAGGCAGCUCACUGGUAGAGCAUCUGCUGUGUGUGCAGAAGGUCCCAGGUUCAAUCCCCAGCAUCUUCA
Molecule: non-coding RNA, 72 nt
Organism: Podarcis lilfordi (Lilford's wall lizard)
Lineage: Eukaryota; Metazoa; Chordata; Lepidosauria; Squamata; Lacertidae
Source: the annotation of a GenBank genome assembly